RNAcentral lists this ribosomal RNA (439 nucleotides) under uncultured bacterium. Its description in RNAcentral is "partial 16S ribosomal RNA". It matches the Rfam family "Bacterial small subunit ribosomal RNA", at positions 339 to 795 of the family's 1533-position model. The record is from RNAcentral.
CUACGGGCGGCACCAGUGAGGAAUAUUGCACAAUGGAGGAAACUCUGAUGCAGCAACGCCGCGUGGAGGAUGACGCAUUUCGGUGUGUAAACUCCUUUUAUAUGUCAAGAAAAUGACGGUAGCAUAUGAAUAAGCUCCGGCUAACUCCGUGCCAGCAGCCGCGGUAAUACGGAGGGAGCAAGCGUUACUCGGAAUCACUGGGCGUAAAGGACGCGUAGGCGGGAUAGAAAGUCAGGUGUGAAAUCCUGUGGCUCAACCAUAGAACUGCACUUGAAACUUCUAACCUAGAGUAUGGGAGGGGAAGAUGGAAUUAGUGGUGUAGGGGUAAAAUCCGUAGAUAUCACUAGGAAUACCAAAAGCGAAGGCGAUCUUCUGGAACAAUACUGACGCUAAGGCGUGAAAGCGUGGGGAGCAAACAGGAUUAGAUACCCCCGUAGUC